This 21-nucleotide microRNA is filed under the name Rosa chinensis. Its description in RNAcentral is "sRNA RchiOBHm_Chr2g0169475". The record is from RNAcentral. Lineage: Eukaryota; Viridiplantae; Streptophyta; Magnoliopsida; Rosales; Rosaceae.
UGUCGCAGGAGAGAUGGCAUG